Molecule: transfer RNA, 72 nt
Filed under: Sus scrofa (pig)
Lineage: Eukaryota; Metazoa; Chordata; Mammalia; Artiodactyla; Suidae
Rfam family: tRNA
About the family: Transfer RNA (tRNA) molecules are approximately 80 nucleotides in length. Their secondary structure includes four short double-helical elements and three loops (D, anti-codon, and T loops).
Source: Rfam by way of RNAcentral
UCCCAGGUGGCCUAGGGGUUAGGACUUAGCACUUUCACUGCUGUGGCCCAGGUUCAAUCCCUGGCCUGGAAA